UACUAGCCCUGAUUGUAGUGUAAAUCCUUUUUUUACCGUUUUUUUGCGGGAAAAAAGAUUGCAACGAAAAGCAGGAAAUAGC
This 82-nucleotide small RNA is filed under the name Flavobacterium sp. FPG59. RNAcentral describes it as "Flavo-1 RNA". It matches the Rfam family "Flavo-1 RNA". Lineage: Bacteria; Pseudomonadati; Bacteroidota; Flavobacteriia; Flavobacteriales; Flavobacteriaceae. The record is from Rfam by way of RNAcentral.